Molecule: ribosomal RNA, 430 nt
Filed under: Pseudomonadota bacterium
Lineage: Bacteria; Pseudomonadati; Pseudomonadota
Description: Proteobacteria bacterium partial 16S ribosomal RNA
Rfam family: Bacterial small subunit ribosomal RNA
Source: RNAcentral
UGGGGAAUAUUGGACAAUGGGGGGAACCCUGAUCCAGCCAUGCCGCGUGUGUGAAGAAGGCCUUAUGGUUGUAAAGCACUUUAAGCGAGGAGGAGGGUACUGGUAUUAAUACUACCAGGUACUGGACGUUACUCGCAGAAUAAGCACCGGCUAACUCUGUGCCAGCAGCCGCGGUAAUACAGAGGGUGCGAGCGUUAAUCGGAUUUACUGGGCGUAAAGCGUGCGUAGGCGGCUAAUUGAGUCGGAUGUGAAAUCCCCGAGCUUAACUUUGGAAUUGCAUUCGAUACUGGUUAGCUAGAGUGUGGGAGAGGAUGGUAGAAUUCCAGGUGUAGCGGAGAAAUGCGUAGAGAUCUGGAGGAAUACCGAUGGCGAAGGCAGCCAUCUGGCCUAACACUGACGCUGAGGUACGAAAGCAUGGGGAGCAAACAGG